RNAcentral lists this long non-coding RNA (1001 nucleotides) under Marmota monax (woodchuck). Lineage: Eukaryota; Metazoa; Chordata; Mammalia; Rodentia; Sciuridae. The record is from RNAcentral.
AACAAAACAAAAAAAACAAAAACAAAUGAAGAGAUAUGGGCAAAGUGUGCCUUAACCAGAGAGAGGACAUGGGAGGGGAGGAGUGUCUUGGUUGAGGCAGGCUAGGGAGAGGUACUUCAGGAGUGGCUCACAGGUUGUGGACCUGGGGUAGGGUAACAUUGAAAAAUUCUCUCUAUCCUAGGGCUAUAGUUUGCCAGUGGUUGUCAUGAUAACAGUUCAGGGAAAGAAAAAUUGACUUAGAAGGAAUGAACAAUUUGAGGCAUUUUAAGACAUGACCCAUUUUUCACUCACUCCAGACUGACCCUAGAGAUGUACCACUCCAUUCUAGAGAGAACAAGAAGAGUUGUACUAACAUUUCCCUUUAUCUUUCUCCUUCUGGCUUUUGAGGUAGAAACAGGUCAUUGAUUUUAAAUCUUUCUUCCAUACACACACACACAUACACACCACAAACACACACACACAUAAACAUGCAUAUAUGUAUAUUUUAAUGUAUAUAGAUUAUGUGUAUAUACAUCACACAUAUAGAGAAAGAUUUAAAGAUAUGAUUUUUCCUCUCACUGCUUUAGCUGUACCUCAUAAUUUUAGAUAUACUGUGUAUUACUAUCAUUCACUUUGAAACUGUUCUAAUUUCUCUUGUGAUUAAUUCUUUUACCUUGUGUGAUAUUUAGAAGUAUAUUAUUUAAUUUCCAACUAUUUCGGGUGUCAUAUUGGUAUCAUGUUGUGACUGAUUUCAAUAUUGUCUUGUUAUUGAUUCCACUGUGAUCAAAGAACAUGCUCUAUAUGGUCUCAGUUCUUAUAAAUUUAUUGAGACUUUUUUUAUGGCCUAUCAUAUACUUGAUUUUAAUGAAUGCAUCCUAUGUAUGUGAAGAGGAUGUGUAUUCUAUAGUUGUUUCCUUUAAAAAUAGCAACAAUAUGCAUGGUACAGUGGUACAUUGCCUGUAAUCCUGGAUAUUCUAGACACUGAGGCAUAUUGCAAGUUUGAGGCCAACCGGGGCAAUUUA